AUGCUCACUUUGGCAACACAUAUACUGAAAUUGGAAUAAUACAGGGAAGAUUAGCAUGGCCCCUCUCCAAGGAUGACAAGCAAAUUCAUGAGGCACUUCAUGUUUUU
Nomascus leucogenys (northern white-cheeked gibbon) is the source of this 107-nucleotide small nuclear RNA. The record is from Ensembl. Lineage: Eukaryota; Metazoa; Chordata; Mammalia; Primates; Hylobatidae.